GGGCCCGUGGCGCAGUUGGACAGCGCGUCGGGUUUCGGACCCGAAGGUCGGGGGUUCGAAUCCCCCCGGGCCCA
Molecule: transfer RNA, 74 nt
Filed under: Methanobacteriota archaeon
Lineage: Archaea; Methanobacteriati; Methanobacteriota
Description: tRNA-Arg
Rfam family: tRNA
About the family: Transfer RNA (tRNA) molecules are approximately 80 nucleotides in length. Their secondary structure includes four short double-helical elements and three loops (D, anti-codon, and T loops). Further hydrogen bonds mediate the characteristic L-shaped molecular structure. tRNAs have two regions of fundamental functional importance: the anti-codon, which is responsible for specific mRNA codon recognition, and the 3' end, to which the tRNAs corresponding amino acid is attached (by aminoacyl-tRNA synthetases). tRNAs cope with the degeneracy of the genetic code in two manners: having more than one tRNA (with a specific anti-codon) for a particular amino acid; and 'wobble' base-pairing, i.e. permitting non-standard base-pairing at the 3rd anti-codon position.
Source: RNAcentral